UGGCAGACGGGUGAGGAACACGUGGGAAUCUACCGUUCCGUUCGGAAUAACAGGGCGAAAGUCCUGCUAAUACCGGAUACGGUCGCGAGACGAAAGUGGCAACGCGCGGAACGAGGAGCCUGCGGCGGAUUAGGCAGUUGGUGGGGUAACGGCCUACCAAACCGAUGAUCCGUAGCUGGUCUGAGAGGAUGAUCAGCCACACUGGGACUGAGACACGGCCCAG
Molecule: ribosomal RNA, 223 nt
Filed under: uncultured bacterium
Lineage: Bacteria
Description: partial 16S ribosomal RNA
Rfam family: Bacterial small subunit ribosomal RNA
Source: RNAcentral